Non-coding RNA from Cinara cedri, 1221 nucleotides. NCBI's taxonomy places the organism in Eukaryota, Metazoa, Arthropoda, Insecta, Hemiptera, Aphididae. The record is from the annotation of a GenBank genome assembly.
AAUACGCAUAGAAUAUUACAGCGAGAGACGACUUGAUUACAUUUAAAAACGUAUACUGUCCUCGUGGACUAGAUGCGUUACGGAUAGCAGGUGUGUGAAACGUCACACUCGGGACUAACGUCCUGCGUAAAGCUCAUGGGGCUGUCGGACGUGGAACGGCCAUCGCCGCGGCAACGCGGUUGGCGACCCCCAAUUGCAGCCGGUUAGCGUAACGCAUCGUAACCGCGGUACGCGUUGUGGUACGGCACGGGGCCCGUUUUGUUAUUGUGACCGCGACGGGAGACCAACGUCGUCACCGUCGAUCCCGCCGCUGCCGCCCCUCGUCCGUCCGCGCCUCGAGAGGGUCCGGCAGAACGGGGAGAGGGACCGAGGUGGCUCGUCGACCGCGAUCAAAGUAGUCGGGGGUACGCCGGACCGCGACACGGGCGCGUACUUCCGUUCCCGCUUCCCGGGCAACGUCGCGAUUAAAUGCGCGCGACGGGGUUUCGUAUUGCUAUAAUGUUAUACGGCCUACGAUAAUAAUGUCCGUUUGUUACGCCGGCGACGAGCAUAACAGCCGGGUAUAUAUAAGUACCUGAAGGAACUCUCCGGGAUCCCUCUGCAUAGCGACACGUACAUGGGUGGGCACGUGCGCGGACACCGGGUUUAUAAUACGGAAUACGAUUUACGGAAUAUCGCGGGCUGUGGACGGCGGCGGUGGCGGCGACACUCUGCGUCGUCUGCGUCGUCACAAUAUUACGGAAUCGACUGCGGCUACGGGAACAACGCGUCGACGACGUGACGUGCGAGCACUGUCGACGAAACGGUGACGGCCGGUGGAGCGGUCGGAGCGGUGGCGUUCUGUUGGCGACGACGGACGGGUACGACGGCGAUCGGCAUCGGAGUACGUCUGCACGGCGAUCGCAUGGUCCGGGACCACGGGCCGAUAAUGAUAAUAAUUCGAUCGUUAUCGUUGUCGUUGUUGUUGUUAUUGUUAUUAUUAAUUUUGCGGUUCGUCCGUCCGUAUAAUUUAUCGUCGACAGAUAAUGCCUAUCGUCCUAUCGUCCAAACGAUAUUCGGUCGGGCGAACUCGAUCGGUUUCCGUACGGAACGCCGACGACGGAACCGGUGGACGGGAGUACGGGACUCGGACACUGCAACGCGCGCGCGGAAUAAAAACAACGCGGCGCGGAUGCAGCUGUGGUCGUGAUGGGCGCACGGGUGUUGCGAGGUUACCGAUCG